GCCCGGCGUAAAGCCGUGUAUUAUCUACCGCAUACGACCUACGGGUGAAAGCGGGGGAUCGCAAGACCUCGCGUUAUUGGAGCGGCCGAUAUCAGAUUAGCUUGUUGGCGGGGUAAAAGCCCACCAAGGCGACGAUCUGUAGCUGGUCUGAGAGGACGACCAGCCACACUGGGACUGAGACACGGCCCAGACUCCUACGGGAGGCAGCAGUGGGGAAUUUUGGACAAUGGGCGCAAGCCUGAUCCAGCCAUGCCGCGUGUGGGAAGAAGGCCUUCGGGUUGUAAACCACUUUUGUCAGGGAAGAAACGGCUCUUACUAAUAUUAGGAGCUAAUGACGGUACCUGAAGAAUAAGCACCGGCUAACUACGUGCCAGCAGCCGCGGUAAUACGUAGGGUGCAAGCGUUAAUCGGAAUUACUGGGCGUAAAGCGUGCGCAGGCGGCUUUGCAAGACAGAUGUGAAAUCCCCGGGCUCAACCUGGGAACUGCAUUUGUGACUGCAUGGCUAGAGUACGGUAGAGGGGGAUGGAAUUCCGCGUGUAGCAGUGAAAUGCGUAGAUAUGCGGAGGAACACCGAUGGCGAAGGCAAUCCCCUGGACCUGUACUGACGCUCAUG
RNAcentral lists this ribosomal RNA (614 nucleotides) under Methylibium sp. Z2-YC6858. RNAcentral's name for it is "bacterial SSU rRNA". It matches the Rfam family "Bacterial small subunit ribosomal RNA", at positions 146 to 751 of the family's 1533-position model. Lineage: Bacteria; Pseudomonadati; Pseudomonadota; Betaproteobacteria; Burkholderiales; Sphaerotilaceae. The record is from RNAcentral.